GAUGAAGAACGCAGCGAAAUGCGAUAAGUAAUGUGAAUUGUAGAAUUCAGUGAAUCAUCGAAUCUUUGAACGCACAUUGCGCCCGUCAGUAUUCUGGCGGGCAUGCCUGUUCGAGCGUCAUUACGCCCCUCAAGUCCCCUGUGGACUUGGUGUUGGGGAUCGGCGAGGCUGGUUUUCCAGCACAGCCGUCCCUUAAAUUAAUUGGCGGUCUCGCCGUGGCCCUCCUCUGCGCAGUAGUAAAACACUCGCAACAGGAGCCCGGCGCGGUCCACUGCCGUAAAACCCCCCAACUUUUUAUAGUUGACCUCGAAUCAGGUAGGACUACCCGCUGAACUUAAGCAUAUCAAUAAGCGGAGGA
RNAcentral lists this unclassified non-coding RNA (358 nucleotides) under soil metagenome. Its description in RNAcentral is "partial contains 5.8S ribosomal RNA, internal transcribed spacer 2, and large subunit ribosomal RNA". The stretch from base 1 to 120 matches the Rfam family "5.8S ribosomal RNA", at positions 35 to 154 of the family's 154-position model. The record is from RNAcentral.